GCACCCGUAGCUCAAUUGGAUAGAGCAUCUGACUACGGAUCAGAAGGUUAGGGGUUCGACUCCCUUCGGGUGUAC
RNAcentral lists this transfer RNA (75 nucleotides) under Prosthecochloris sp. CIB 2401. RNAcentral describes it as "tRNA-Arg". It matches the Rfam family "tRNA". From Rfam's summary of the family: Transfer RNA (tRNA) molecules are approximately 80 nucleotides in length. Their secondary structure includes four short double-helical elements and three loops (D, anti-codon, and T loops). Lineage: Bacteria; Pseudomonadati; Chlorobiota; Chlorobiia; Chlorobiales; Chlorobiaceae. The record is from RNAcentral.